AAAAACCUCAGCCCACUACUAAUCUCUAGUUAAUUGCAAUAGAAAAAUACUUAAAAAAGAAAAAAGAAAAAAGCCAUAAAUGAAGAAAACAAAGCAUUAAAAGGCCAUUUUCCCGAGAAAGCUGCACUCGUCCCAUCACUUGUCCAUGCCAUUAUUACCCGACGGUUUAUCUUCCCAAAAACCACUUUUUCACCCAAAACGCUCCCUUGUUUCCAUAAAUUCAUUUCAUCCAAAACACUCUUCUCCGAUGCUUUAAGAUCCCAGGGAGCAAAUCGAAACCUUCCUCAAAGAAACUUCAGUUCGGUUCUCUGAUCCAAUCAUCUUCCAGUACUUUUACUGCAUAUCUUGGCAUCGAACCCUCCAGGUAAAACUCUUCCCUUUUCUUUAGACUUUCAGUAGCUACACUGUCGGCCAGUUUAUUAAUUUUACGACAAACAUGGUAAAACUUAAGGAAUCUAAAGUUACACUAUAAAGCCUUUAUAUAUUGGAUAAUAGAGCAAAUUUCGGAAUUGUCACUAGAGUUAGAGAUACAUUUCUUAAUAGCUGAUAGUGAGUACCCUUCAAUAUGAAUUUUACGAUCCUUAAGAUUUAACCCCAUUUUAACUGCCUCUAAACAUGAAUGGGCUUUUGCUGCAAAAGCUGAACCAGCAUUCUCAUGGAUGAUUACUUUGGAGACGAUUACCUUGCCCAUUCCAUCUCUAACAACCACUCCCGAUCCUAAUCUGAAAAGUUCACUAUUAAAGCCGACAUCAAAAUAAAUUUUGAUAUCCUCUCCAGAAGAGGGAACCCAUACUUCUCUAGUCACCUCUUUGGUAAGUGCUUUUUCCUCCAAGCAGUCUAACUCUCUUACAUACCUAUGAAUAAAAAAAGCCAUAUCCUCACUUGAUUUAUUUAUUCGUUCAUGCAGACAUUUGUUUCUCUUAGUCCAUAAGGCCCAAAGGGAGACACAGAACACUCGUUGCUGGGAGUUUGAGCAGACACUAAAAGCCCAAGUAAGCCAUUCGAACCAUUCUUGUAUAUUGCUUGGCAUUAUCCACUGAAGGUCCAGUAAACUCCAAACGUCCUUUGCAACAGGGCAAUUAAGGAAGACAUGUAUCAUAUUUUUAGCUUCUUUCCCAUAUCGUGGACACUCUACAUUAGUCACCAGUCUCUUACAACGUAGAUUUAGCAUAGUAGGAAUAAUUUUUUUGAGAUGCGCCAUACUAUAAUUUUAACUUUAGAAGGAAGUUUCAAACUCCAUAGCUUUCGAUAGAAAUCUCUAGAAAUGAGUUGUGAUGUAUUUAAUUAGGAGUAGAAAAACCCAACUGUAAUAGUUUAUAGGCACUGCACACCGAGAACAUCCCCGAUGGCUCACCUCUCCAAGCCAUUCAUCUUCAUGAGGAACUUUUGCCAGUGGGAUUCGAAGGUUCCUUCCCGCAUCAACCGCAUCAAAGGUAUUGGUAAUAAUUUCCGCUCUCCAUUCUCUAAUAUUAUUAUCAAUGAGCUCAACAACAAACUCCAAAUUACAAUUAUCAACUGGAUGAUUUAACCUGUAAUUAUCAGAACCUUGAAUCCAGGCAUGAUUAAAAAUAGAAAUAUUAUCACCCUUCCCCACCCUCUAACUCGUGCCUUCCUGAAGCACUCUCCUCGUUGCCCAUAUACUUAUCCACGUGUAAGAAGCAUUGUGCUUUAAACAUGCCUGUAAAAGAUCUGAAUUGGGGCAAUAUUUAGCUUUUAAAACUUUCACUAAUAAUGAAUUGGAGUUAGUCAUAAGUCUCCAUCCCUACUUCGCUAAGAGAGCCACGUUAAAAUUUGCGAAGUUCUUAAAACCCAAACCACCAUACUCCUUUGAGUCACAUAGUUUUUCCCAUGUGCAUCAAUGCAAACCACAUUUUCCAUGAAAUUUUUGCCACCAAAACCUAGCUAUUAUUCCCUUCAUUUCUUCACAUAACGUUUUAGGUAGUAGAAAAUAAGCCAUAGUAUAAGUUGGGAUUGAUUGUAAAAUUGUUUUAAUGUAGACUUCUUUCCUGUAUUGUGAAAAGAAUCAUGUACUCCAAUUAUCAAAUUUUUUUCUUCAUUCCAUCCUUUAAGAUUUUAAAAGAGGCUAUUUUCUUUCUACAGACCAUAUUAGGAAGUCCCAAGUAGUUUUUGGGAUUAUUUGAAUGUCUCACUCCUAGCUCAUUAGAUAUUUUUGCUCGUAUAGUUUCAAGAGUGUUCCUAUUAAAGAAAACCGUUGACUUUUCAAAAUUCACGUAUUGUCCUGAACAAUUUUUGUAUUCUUUCAAGAUAUCUUUCAAGACGUUUGCACCUCUUGUUGUAGUUCCCUGUAAAGAAUGCAGUCAUUUGCAAAAAGUAAAUGAGAGGCCACUGGUCUAUUUUGACUUGCCUUAACCCCUUUUAAUUUCCUCUGGCUAUUAGCAAGACGCAUAAGAGUAGAUAAUCUCUUGCUGUAAAUCAAAAAUAGAGAAGGGCUUAGAGGAUCCCCUUGCCUUAGUCCUCUUAUAGGUCAAAAAGAAUUUCCUCUCAAACCAUUAAUGUUAACUGAAUAGGAAACUUUUGAUAUACAAUCAAGCACUAUAUCAACCCAAGCCUUUGCAAAACCUAUUUUAGUCAUCAUUGCUCGAAGAAAACCCCACUCCAUUCUAUCGUAAGUUUUAGUUGUGUCCAAUUUUAGGGCCAUCAGACCUUUACUUCCUUUACUUUUUUAUCCUAAAGUUUACCAUAAAGUUAAAUUGAAUUUAGAUAUGAUAAAAAAUCUAAUUAGACAAUUAGUUAAAUACAAAUAGUUUGACCUUAAAGUUAGUGGUUUUGGAGAAUGAGAAAUUGAGACCCUAUUUUUGUAAGGUGGAUUAUAUUAGAAGUGAGUUGAAUUUUGGUCAAGUAACUUUUGUUGAAUUAGUGUUUAAUUAAGGUAUAGGGACUAAAUCAAAAAAACAUUAAAAGUUGAAUCUUUAAGGAAUCUACAAAUAGAAAAUAGAGUGAGAGCCUUGUAUAGCAAAUAUGCCACUUUAUAAGUUGUAGUUGUCGAUUUCUAUUUAUGUUAGUAAUAAAUUUUGGUUUAAAUAAGUUAUAAAAUAAAAAAUUCUAAUUAAAUUAAUAAAGGUAAAAAAACAUGAAUUAAAUGUGAAAGUGGGAAGAAAGAGACAACCUCCUUGUAUUCAUUUUUUUUCAUUCGAAAGUGAAGAAGAAAAAUUGAGGGACGAAUCAUAAGUUUUUUUUAAAUUUUUAAAUUUUUAGAAUUUUGGGAACUCAAGCUAGUUGACCCAUGUCGUAUUUUUACGAUUAAAGUUUGAGGAUUUUACUAUUGUUGAAUAGUUAGAUUUUUAGGGAUUAAUUUGACAGAUUUUAAGUUGAGUAUUGAAAAAAAGACUAAAUUGUAAAGUUAAUUAUGAUUUUAUGAAAUAGGGAUUAAAUUGCACAAAUUUUUAAAUUUGGGGUAGAAAUGUAAAAUAGGAAGUUAAAAGUAGGCCUAGAAUGAAAUUGAUAUAAAAAUUGGUGAUUAAAUUUGAAAGUUAUGUUAGUCUUGAUUUUAGGGACUAAAUUCAAUAAAAUACAAAAGUUGUAUAAAAUAGCAAUUGAUUGUGAAAAUGGUUGUGUAUUGAUAAUUUUAUACGUUUAUAUUAAUCUAUAGCUAACGUUGACCCAGAUCCUUCAAAAAAGAAUAGAAAAGAUAAAGUUGUCGACAAAUAGCACAAGUUUACGGUCUGUAUUUUUAAAUCCAAACCUUUUCAAUUGUUGCAUUCACAAACUGCGCAGUAUGGUAAUAACAUAAGGUAAGCUAGAAAUGAGAGGACAAGAUAAAUUGAACUGAUUCAAAUUAGUUGUUUGUGAUAAGACUAAAUUGAAUAGAUUUGAAAAUAUGAUAUAUUGUUAUAAGUGUGCAAUUGAUUUCAAUUAGUGAUUAAUUAUGCUGUUUAAUGAUUGAUUGAUGAAAUUAUAUUGUAGAAUUGAGAAAUUGAGUAUAAAUGAAAUUAAAAUAAGGGUGGAUAGUGGAUAUCAAUUUAUAAGCUUGGAAUUAUGGAUUUGAUAUUUUAUGAUUUAAUCAAUUCGAUUAAGACAGAGAAAAAUCUAUCUUGCAACUAUGAUAACUCGAUUUAAGAUAUGUAAAUAUAUUGAAUUAGGUGAUAUAAUAGGAUUUGUAGAUUGACAUGUUAAAACGCAUUAUAGAAUUUAUAUUAUGUUUUAAUACCACUGUGUUAUACUUAGCGUACCACUUUAUUUCCCAUGCUCAAGUUAGGUACCUUACGAUUUGAUUGUCGACUCCGCAUCCAGUGGCAAAUCCCAAACUCAAACAUUGGUGAUCUGUUUAUUUUGGUAUUGGUAUGUACCUAGGACGUCUUAUGUUUAUAUGGGUUAUGUUAGUAUUUUAAGAAAUUAUAUGUAUGUAACGCCUUAAAACUCUAAAUUUUUAAUUUUUGCAUGAUUUGAUAAAAAUUGCUUGUUUGCUUUAAUGGCUAAGUGAUUUGGGUGUGUAUGAGAGUGUUUGAGAAGCUUAGGUUCAAGUCUUGGUUUUCGUAGAAUUUUUAGUUUUUCCCUUAAAUAAAUCUGGACGCUGGUAUAUAGGCCUUAUAAAUAUUGGUACUUGUUUUAUGACACAAGGAGCCUAUUGGUUUAGUGGCAAGUGGCGUGUUGGACUGAAACACAGUUGGGGGGAUUUUGAUUGGAGUUUUGGAGGGAGUUGGAGAGUAGUAUGUGGAGAGAUUUAAGGAGGGAUAAGGGGAGGGAUUUGAGGAGAAAAUUUAGGAGUGGGUUGAGAGGAGAGUUGUGCCAUUUGGGAAGUUUUUAGCUUAGGAAACUCAACUGGGGGUUAGUUUGUACCGAAUUUGGUCUUAGGCACUUUGGGUAAUUGGUGUUUUUAGCUACUUUUGCUGUUGUAGUGCUGCAAGUAUUGUAGAUUAUCAGUAAAGUUAUGAUAAUCCUCACUCUUUGAUUUAAUUGGUUUUUUUCCAUUCUUUUUCUUUAAGCUGAAUACCUCUCUUGGCCAUUAUUAUGGCCUAAUUUAGUUUAUGAAGAUCUGUGUUGUGGUGCAGGUAAUUGAUAAGUGGGUGACCAUUUUUGGUUGGAGGUUUUGGAGGAGUUAAGUCACCCUCUAUCAAGCAAGGUAAGGAUGUGUGGUUUUAGUGUCAUUAAGAGGGUGUCUUGUUUUACAAGAUUGACUUGUGUCUUGAUUAAAUCUAGGUUGGUGUACGUGAAGACUUGCGCUCUUCUCAUAAAUAGGUGUGCAAUCACACCCCCACUUUUUUUGCAAAUCAGCAAAAGUUGAAAAGCUGAAUAUGACGGUGUUCGAGGCCAUAUAAGUGUACGAAUGCUCGUAUGGUAAAUCGAGCCCACGAAACAUUGUGUUGGAUUGUAAAGGCCUCCAUAAGAAUUUUAUGGGCUUAUGCCGUAAUGGGCCACGUUGGGCCGAAAUUGACCGUGUGGGUCCAGUGGGCUCGUAGGUCUCACAUGAAUGAAAUUCAUGAACUGUAGCGAAUAUUAGGUUCAGCUUUAAAGUCCCCAAAGCAAUGGCAGAUUUUGGGAUGAGCA
Molecule: long non-coding RNA, 5505 nt
Filed under: Gossypium barbadense (sea-island cotton)
Lineage: Eukaryota; Viridiplantae; Streptophyta; Magnoliopsida; Malvales; Malvaceae
Description: long non-coding RNA (GBAR_LNC020000)
Source: RNAcentral